AAAAAGGUAUUAAAGUCUGGGCCAUAUGGUAUAUUUAUUUAUUUAUUUAAAUAUGUGCGCACUUUGGAUUGUGAUUGUGUGUAAUAGUGUUCCUCUUUUCAGUUACAAAAAAAGACACAGUCAGUUUCAGAUGCAAGUUUGCGCUGCAUUAGAUCAUAUCCUGAAGUGCUUCUCCUUUUGUGAAUGUAGUUUUUGCUUUUGCCUUCACGCACAAAUAAAAACAAUAAAGGUUAGAAAAGAUGGUAAUUAGAAACAUUUUAGUACGAUGCUGAUUACUUGACUGAAGCUAGUAUUGUAUGUGUUUUUAAACUGUGCACUGAUAUGUGGUCAUGUGAAACAGUUCAGGAUCAAGAUCGAAGAAUCAAGACUGAAGAGUCUCUAGCAGCUGCUCUUUGAUGAUUGAUGAUAAAAAGCUGAUUGUGUUACUGCUCAAUACAGAGUCUUCUAUAGCGAUAAGAGUCCAUUAUAAUGCUGGCCGAAUUUAAGAUAAGGACAUACACUUUGGUUAGUUAUUACACAAUGCACCAUAUUACAUUUUCAUUUUAAGUGCCACUAUUACACAUUGUGUUUUAGUUGUUACAUAAUGAACUAAAAUUAGAUUCAUUGUGUCAAGUUAUUAUAUAAUGUGUUGUUAAAAGCUAUAAUAGGAUAUAACAAACUGCACAAGCCGAUUAGACUCAUUGUAACAAGUGUGGGAAAACUUUUGUACAUGAGCUGAUAUAUUUGAAGUUGAUUUUAAAUAAGCUGAAGCUUUCGGUCUCGCUUAUGAACUUUUUGCUGUUUUGUUUUUACCAGAGCAACACCUCUCAUAUAGCAGUAGGCCUCUCUACUGUGGUCUGACUCAGAGCUGAGAGUUUUUUAGAUCACUGUGAAGUCCUCAAGCUGAACGCUACUUGAUGCCACAGCAGUUUGUAUAUCAAGAGUUCAGCCGCAGAGCACUAAGACUUCAACUGAUGAAGCUCAGCUAUUAUGACAUUUCAUUAUGAUACUGUAAAUUGGAAAUUGACACAUAAUACACACUGCCAUUAUGGUACGUCAGUGGUCUGUACAUUUGUUUUAAUUAACUAGGUAUGAAUCAGUGUUUAUAUUGUAGAUGAGUUUUUUUUUUUAUUAUGUAUUUUACAAAACAAAAAAUAGCAGACAGAUCAAUCCAGACAAUGUUGUACUGUUGUAUUUCUUUUGUUUUAUUUUGUUGCCAGUCCGGUGUUGUGAUAAGUUUGUACAGAUGAUUAAAAUGUUUAAAACA
This is a long non-coding RNA of Larimichthys crocea (large yellow croaker), 1246 nucleotides long. RefSeq lists it as uncharacterized. NCBI's taxonomy places the organism in Eukaryota, Metazoa, Chordata, Actinopteri, Sciaenidae. The record is from RefSeq and is a predicted model, not a curated record. The transcript is spliced from 2 exons.